UACCAGUUCUGUCUGUGAUGUCAAGGUUUC
Molecule: non-coding RNA, 30 nt
Filed under: Mus musculus (house mouse)
Lineage: Eukaryota; Metazoa; Chordata; Mammalia; Rodentia; Muridae
Source: RNAcentral